UUUUUCUAUUCGGCUGCUCAAGCCUCCACCUGAUUGAGACCCUGAAGACAGAAGAAACAAAGGAAAAAUUGAGGGAAUAUGUAGGAAAAAUCAACGAGAACGAAGGAAAGAUAGAAGAAAUCAAAAGAUUCGUCAAGCUUGAGGUGCCAUAUCGGAUGAUUGGGUGGUUGAAGUAGUGCUUUAAAGAAGCUUAGCCUUUGUGGGAUUAGGUGGAGUAAAUAAUCAAGGAUGAGUUACUACACAGAUUUGAGGCAAGGUACAGAUGGUCUCCAGCAAAAGAUCAUAAUGUUAGGAAAUGCUUAAUGAGUACCAAUAGAUAUCUACUUACUAGUAUAAUAAGUGAGACAUAAAAGAAAUAUGUUGAUAAGUUAAAGGAGACGAAUCCGCAAGCUACACUUCCAGACAGUUUGGUUAUGAACUUAUUAGGUGUAGUAUUAUGUUUGAUACUGGAUACUAACUGGAGUUGAAUUGUUUAAUAUUUUGAUAUACUGUAUUUGCUUAUGUAUUUUGAGGUGUAGUUUUAUGUGUUGUAUAUGACUGUGUAUUUGAACGAUAUUUGAAUUAUUAUGAAUAGAUUAAUUAAUUUAAAUUUUAGUAUA
This is a long non-coding RNA of Elaeis guineensis (African oil palm), 599 nucleotides long. RefSeq lists it as uncharacterized. Lineage: Eukaryota; Viridiplantae; Streptophyta; Magnoliopsida; Arecales; Arecaceae. The record is from RefSeq and is a predicted model, not a curated record.